Molecule: long non-coding RNA, 417 nt
Filed under: Amborella trichopoda
Lineage: Eukaryota; Viridiplantae; Streptophyta; Magnoliopsida; Amborellales; Amborellaceae
Description: long non-coding RNA (ATRI_LNC004400)
Source: RNAcentral
AUAGACAAUGGGUUCUAUACAUCAAGCAAACAAAAAAGUAGUAUUGUCGAGUUUCAUGAUAAAAUAUCUGACUCCAUUCUCACCAAAAGGUAGAGGCCCAAAUCCCCACUGACAUACCACUUUUGAAGGAAAAGAGCCGGGGCUUAAUUGGUUAGCGCUUGAUGAUUUGCAACGCUACGUCCUAGGCUCAAUUCCUAGAAAGGGUAUGUGACCUCUCCCAAUUGUCUCACCCAAAAGAAACAAAAAACAAGAGCACCUAAUCGAGGUGGUAAUUAACUAUGGGAAAGGUUUAUAUAAGGUUGCUACCUUCAAUUGUAAAAUUAAGGUGCACAUAAAAAAUUCAUCGGAAAAGGCUAUAUGAAUGUUGGGAAACCCUCUAAUUUCUCAUCUCAAUAUCAUGAUCUAUGGAAAUGGAAG